ACCUCUCCCGUGCGCCGCCGCCAAUCUUCCUACCUCCCCCAUCGUUCCGUCAACCUCCGAGCCUCACAUCGGCCAGAUCCGUCCGCAACAACCUCUUCUUCUAUCUCCCCUCGUUCGUGCCGGUCGGAUCUCGCGACCUCAAGAUGCCCCAGGUUGCGCCUGACGCCGACGGCUUCAUCAGGCUCGCCGAGUUCGUGGCGCUGAACGCUACCGUUGACGGGGACGACGCCGCCGUCGUGGAGGACCUGCGGCUCGCCUUUGGGUCCUUAGACGUCGACGGCAGCGGUGCCAUGUCCUCCACCGAGCUUGCACACGUCCUCGACUGCCUCGGGUAGAAGGCCACCGGCAUGCAGUGCCGCCGCAUGGUUGAGGGUAUCACCAAGAACUACGCCGGACUCAUACGGACACAUAUCCUUGAUCCUUCGAGGACUUCAUGGUCAUAGUGGCCUGAUGCUGCACCGUUUUCGCCAGAUCUGAGGCUGCAGUGAGGGGUUCAGCAAGUGAAGCACCACAACGUCAAACAGAGUAGCAGACAUCCGUGGGGAAUUUCCAUGAAAGGUUUAAUUCAGGCAUCAGGGCAAUUGUUAGUUCAACGAUUGUUAAUUCUGCACAUGUAUAUAUGAGCAGCGACACCAUCUCUGCACUCCUGUAGAAUCAGGGCCAAAAUUUUGGGAAGAUACAUUUAUUUUUGACGUCAAAAUGGAAAUAGUUUGUGCAAGGAGCAGGCAUAAGCUUCUUUACUCAUUGCUUAAUCCGGAAAAAGUGCAUUCAGCUAUUUCAUGAGUGCCAUCUAGUAGAGAUGGCUUAUCAGUAUUGAAAAUGAACAUGCAAUCCCAUGCCUUCUCAACGCUAUCUGUUAUGUUUCAGGUUGUGCAUCCGCUGCUUAGUUCAACUUGCCUCCACCACACCUCCCAGGCCAUUUUCUUGUGCCCUCUCUUGGAUUCUCUCUCAGAUCCAUGCAAAUACAAAAUACUAGAAGCUGCCUUGAUUUAUUCAUUCCUUCACUUCAUAAACCAUAUCUUUCCUCCAACGUUUCUACCAUGUUGGCCUAUUGAAACUAGUAUCCCACUACAUAAUCUGAUACCUUGUUGUCUUGUAAAGGCUGGGCAAUGAAAUUUUGUAUUGUCUGAAUUGUACACUAACAGAUUAACUGUUGUAAAGUCAUGGUUCAAAUUUCUUGAUGUUGUUGGGUUCUGUUAUCUGAAUAUUAUGUGUUGAACAUGAUCCUACUUGGUUUGUCCUGCUUUUAAAUUGCGUGUUCUGAACCAUCUGAAACUAAUAAUGCUAGUUUGUACUAAGGUUUUGUGUUUGAUUUAGAAGCCAGGUAAUGAAAACUAUGUAUCCUCUAAAAAAGUACUGUAUGUUCCGUGUUCUAAAGCCUGUGUGAUUGAUAGU
Molecule: long non-coding RNA, 1395 nt
Organism: Lolium rigidum
Lineage: Eukaryota; Viridiplantae; Streptophyta; Magnoliopsida; Poales; Poaceae
Exons: 3
Source: RefSeq, a predicted model, not a curated record